GGUGAUUGUGUGUCUGGUCCAUG
This 23-nucleotide microRNA is filed under the name Daphnia pulex (common water flea). Lineage: Eukaryota; Metazoa; Arthropoda; Branchiopoda; Diplostraca; Daphniidae. The record is from RNAcentral.